Molecule: transfer RNA, 66 nt
Filed under: Tetratoma fungorum
Lineage: Eukaryota; Metazoa; Arthropoda; Insecta; Coleoptera; Tetratomidae
Description: tRNA-Trp
Rfam family: tRNA
About the family: Transfer RNA (tRNA) molecules are approximately 80 nucleotides in length. Their secondary structure includes four short double-helical elements and three loops (D, anti-codon, and T loops).
Source: RNAcentral
AAGGAUUUAAGUUAAAGCUAAACUAAUAACCUUCAAAGCUAUAAAUAGAAAAAUUUCUAAUCCUUG